This 397-nucleotide ribosomal RNA is filed under the name uncultured bacterium. Its description in RNAcentral is "partial 16S ribosomal RNA". It matches the Rfam family "Bacterial small subunit ribosomal RNA", at positions 523 to 918 of the family's 1533-position model. The record is from RNAcentral.
AUACGUAGGUGACAAGCGUUAUCCGGAUUUACUGGGCGUAAAGGGCGUGUAGGCGGUCUUGCAAGUCAGAAGUGAAAUUCCUGAGCUCAACUCGGGCGCUGCUUCUGAAACUGCAGGACUUGAGUGCUGGAGGGGAUAGCGGAAUUCCUAGUGGAGCGGUAAAAUGCGCAGAUAUUAGGAAGAACACCGGUGGCGAAGGCGGCUAUCUGGACAGUAACUGACGGUGUGGCGCGAAAGCGUGGGGAGCAAACAGGAUUGGAUUCCCUGGUAGUCCACGCCGUAAACGAUGAAUACUAGGUGUAGGGGGUAUCGACUCCCUCUGUGCCGCAGUUAACACAAUAAGUAUUCCGCCUGGGGAGUACGGCCGCAAGGUUGAAACUCAAAUGAAUUGACGGGG